Molecule: long non-coding RNA, 1470 nt
Organism: Amphiprion ocellaris (clown anemonefish)
Lineage: Eukaryota; Metazoa; Chordata; Actinopteri; Pomacentridae
Source: Ensembl
GAAUGAAUUAAAUUGUAUAUUUUUUAGGCCCUGCGAUGGACUGGCGAGCUGUCCAGGGUGUCUCUGCCUUCGCCAUGAGUCGGCUGGGAGAGGCUCCAGCCGAUCAAGCAGAGUGUAGAAGAUGGAUGGAUGGAUGGAUGGAUGGAUGGAUGGAUGGAUGGAUGGAUGGAUGGAUGGAUGGAUGUUGUGUGGUUCCAACUGAACUCUGUCCUUGCCAGUGGGACUCGGGUCAGGGUGCCUUUCAGAGGUGUGGGUGGAUCUGGGGGGGAUAAACACCCUCACAGUGAAGCUCCGCUCUGGCUAAAGGUGAGAAGGAUGCAGACAGCAUGUCAUGGAGAAGUAACAUGUGUGUCUGCAUCCCAUCCUGGACCCACAGUGGAGUUCCACAGUGACAAGGACCAGAGUUCAGGGGAAUCACACUGGGAGGGGGGAGGAAGAUUUCACGGGCCGCCGCACAAUGGUGGCCCGUGACAAGGUAAGUUUUAGGUUUACGUUUGAUAUUUAUCAUACAAGAAGUUUUUAAAUCUCCAAACAGGAGGUGAUACAUUUUCUGCAAGAUUCUCACACGUUUUCCUGUUGUUGUUUUUUUCAGCCCCAGCUUCUGAUGGCCCCAGGACUCAAAACUGAAAGAAGGACAAGAAGAAGACCCAAAGAUGAGACCCAGCUCCAGCAGACCCGUGAAGACGAGGAACCGACCCACCAGAGACGACCCUAGAGAGGCCAACCAGCCUGCAAUGAGAUGACGGGACAACUUCAUAAGGAGCAGAAUGCACUGCUGCUUCCUGGUCACCAAAUGAUUCCAACAGGGAUGGAUCAUCGAGGAGAAAUAAGCCAUUUUGAAGAAAAGAUGAUGGGAAACAUGUCCAGGACCAGUGCAUGAGACGUGAGACCAUUCAACUAAUACAAGAGCUCUCUCUCCAAGACACCCGCUAAAAUGUAGGAUCAGAUCAAGACAAGAAACUGGAUAAGGAGCAGCCCCAGCAUUUGAACUCAGACUAGGGAAGAGGGGAUGCUGCUUAUAGUGACGCAAAAGGAGGAAGUCGGAGUACAAAGAGAAAACCCCACACAGUCACAGAGACAACAUGGACGGAAAGAACCAGACGACCAGCAGAAGACAAAGAAACAGUUCGAGGAGCCUCAGGACGAUCGACAACAGAAGAAACGUGUCCGAGAACAGGAAGAAGAUGACCAACAGCAUCAAACAGAGAAGAAGAAGAAGAAACAGACCCCGGAAGAAGAAGAAAAAGAAGAAGAAGAGAAGCUCCAGAUUACUCCAAAGGUAUCUCUGGAUGUGGAGCUACGCAUUUAGAUCUGCUGUUCAUGUUCUCUCCCUCCUCUGUACCCUCAUCCCAAAUGGAGGUUUUUUUUCAACUUCCCGGCAACGGGAAGUUUUUUUCCUCCAUAAUGCUACCAAAUGUUGAUCUGAUCAAACAGCAAUAAGAGAACCUUCAAUAAAAAGUCAAAACAAAA